UUUAAUAUGGCAGAAUUAGUGCAAUGAAUUUAAAUUUCAUUUAUAAAGUUUUAUAAACUUUUAUUAAAA
RNAcentral lists this transfer RNA (69 nucleotides) under Nomada fabriciana. Its description in RNAcentral is "tRNA-Leu". The record is from RNAcentral. Lineage: Eukaryota; Metazoa; Arthropoda; Insecta; Hymenoptera; Apidae.